UCGCGGCGGGAACGCGGGGCCUCCGUGUUCUGCUGUCUUCAUCAGCGUGGGCCGCGGGCCAUCAUGAGGAAGCCACGAGCAGCCGUGGGAAGUGGUCACAGGAAGCAGGCAGCCAGCCAGGAAGGGAGGCAGAAGCAUGCUAAGAACAACAGUCAGGCCAAGCCUUCUGCCUGUGAUGGCCUGGCCAGGCAGCCGGAAGAGGUGGUAUUGCAGGCCUCUGUCUCCUCAUACCAUCUAUUCAGAGACGUAGCUGAAGUCACAGCCUUCCGAGGGAGCCUGCUAAGCUGGUACGACCAAGAGAAACGGGACCUACCAUGGAGAAGACGGGCAGAAGAUGAGAUGGACCUGGACAGGCGGGCAUAUGCUGGUCAGUACAUCUCCUGAGAGCAGGGCCACUUUGCCUCGAGGCCCUUGGGUCUGGGGGCUGUGGGCCAGGUAGGGGCAGGUCAGCAGUGUCCUCAUGCCAACCCCUUUCCCCCAGUGUGGGUCUCAGAGGUCAUGCUGCAGCAGACCCAGGUUGCCACUGUGAUCAACUACUAUACCGGAUGGAUGCAGGUGACUCCAGGGGAGGAAGGGAAGGGUCAUGGGUCAGACCCCAGAUGAGAGCCUCUACUUUGGGGUGGGUGUAGAGAAGGCUUCCUCUACCACCUUCACCCUUGACCUUGUCUCUUUCUGCCUGCCUGUGGCUAUAGAAGUGGCCUACACUGCAGGACCUGGCCAGUGCUUCCCUGGAGGUGAGAGCCACCCUAGGGUAGGGGAAAUAGGAACAAUAGAGGGACUGACGGGUGAUCUCUUUGACCUCUGAUCCUACCCACAGGAGGUGAAUCAACUCUGGGCUGGCCUGGGCUACUAUUCUCGUGGCCGGCGGCUGCAGGAGGGAGCUCGGAAGGUGGUAGAGGAGCUAGGGGGCCACAUGCCACGUACAGCAGAGACCCUGCAGCAGCUCCUGCCUGGCGUGGGGCGCUACACAGCUGGGGCCAUUGCCUCUAUCGCCUUUG
RNAcentral lists this long non-coding RNA (998 nucleotides) under Homo sapiens (human). RNAcentral describes it as "non-protein coding lnc-TESK2-2:7". Lineage: Eukaryota; Metazoa; Chordata; Mammalia; Primates; Hominidae. The record is from RNAcentral.